GACGAACGCUGGCGGCGUGCUUAACACAUGCAAGUCGAACGGAAAGGCCCUGCUUUUGUGGGGUGCUCGAGUGGCGAACGGGUGAGUAACACGUGAGUAACCUGCCCUCGACUUUGGGAUAACUUCAGGAAACUGGGGCUAAUACCGGAUAGGAGCUCCUGCUGCAUGGUGGGGGUUGGAAAGUUUCGGCGGUUGGGGAUGGACUCGCGGCUUACCAGCUUGUUGGUGGGGUAGUGGCUUACCAAGGCUUUGACGGGUAGCCGGCCUGAGAGGGUGACCGGGCACAGUGCGACUGAGAUACGGCCCAGACUCCUACGGGAGGCAGCAGUGGGGAAUAUUGCACAAUGGGCGGAAGCCUGAUGCGGCAACGCCGCGUGCGGGAUGACGGCCUUCGGGUUGUAAACCGCUUUCGCCUGUGACGAAGCGUGAGUGACGGUAAUGGAUAAAGAAGCACCGGCUAACUACGUG
This 468-nucleotide ribosomal RNA is filed under the name uncultured bacterium. Its description in RNAcentral is "partial 16S ribosomal RNA". It matches the Rfam family "Bacterial small subunit ribosomal RNA", at positions 28 to 507 of the family's 1533-position model. The record is from RNAcentral.